GUAUGAACAGUGGCGUGCAUAGCUAGACUAAUAUCACUGGCGUGCUUCUGUAUCUCUUUGCAAAAAAACUAACCUAGAAAUGGCAUUCACACCACUAGCAUUUACCCCCAGGCUGAUGUUAUCUUGUUUCAAAAGUAUUCUGUAGGUCAUUUAAACUUGCUAAAUACAAACUCACAACACAAAUCAAAUCAUGUUGAUAUGCAUUAGCACAGGCUGAAAACAUUUCAGCACAAAACAAUAUACGUACAUUGUGUAUUAUGCACGUUGUACUUAACGAAAAUAACUUUUACUUUCUUUUGACUCUGAUAAUUUUAGCUCUGGGGUGGGCAAUUACUUUUGUUCAGGGGUGUGUUGGACCUAUUUUUAAGUGAUUACAGGCCAAAGGGAUUCAAAAAUCAGCAGCUACUUCAUACAAUAUUAAACAGUUAGAAUUGAUUAAUGCUCAGUGAAUGUUGAAGCAUUCAAUGUAACACUGUUCUCAGAUACCCUUAAUGUAUGUUAUUCCAUUGGGGAGACCAAGUUCCACACCCAAAUAAAACAACAGAAGUUUUCUACAUACUUAUUCAGAGAAGUGACAUGAAUUCUUGGAAGUAGGAGCAGACCAUUACAAGGUGGUGUACGAGUAGUGGAAUCCAUGCAGAUUGACAGACAAGGAGACAAGAGAGAAAAAAACACACGGAGAAGAAAACGAAAGAAAGAACAGAGACAAGACAUGAAACAAUAUAAUUAUGAAUAGUGUAUCAUCUACGGAUAAAGUGACAAGAACAUCUAAAAAAAAUGUGUCUCUUAUUGUGAAGAAUGGCUAUUUUUGGGUGAUGUUAUCAGCUUCCAUUUCUUGGAUUUUAUGUGCCACAGCUAGAUGUAGUACAAAACUGAAUAAACAUAAUGAAAAACAGCCCUAGUCAUUUUUAUUGCUUUUAAUUAUAAAGGGGAAAUAUUUAAUAUUAAAACACCAGCCUUUCACUGUCAAGCCUGAAAUAUCUGAAAUAUGUUAAGUUGCAUUCACAUGCAAGAAAAAAUGUUAUUACUGUAUUUUAAAAUGCAAGCACAAUGUGAAGUGAAUUAUUAUCUCAAACACAAAACUAGGUAUUUUUACCAACAGAGGUGGUAACAAUAUGGUACAGAUUUGAGGUUUUCAUUAUGGUGAAAUUUUCUAUGUUUUUUUCAGGUUGUGAUGUUAUGUGUACUUUUCAGAUCUCUGAAGAUGGAGACGGUAUGUUUCUCUGAAAUGUUGGUAUCUACCUAUGAUACCACAAGGCAUCACAAUCCAUAAGAACAUUAUUGACAGUCUGGUGGAGAUGCUGAACAAUACAUUUGGAAUACAAUGACAGUUAAGUAAAGAAAGCAAAUGAAUUUCAUGAGCAUAAUCAUGCAAAAUUCAGUUCACAUCAUAUUAAAACACAAUGCAUUAAUUCCAAUGCCUGUUACUGAAAUUACACCUAGAACUUGUUGGAUGUAAGCAUGAAGUAUAUUUAUAAUAAUGUAAAUGUACCAAAUUUUUACUCUCAGAACAUUAUUUUAAGCAAGUCUUUAUGAUGGAAGACUGUUUAGUGAUUUGAAAUGUCUGCCAGUAUCCUUCAAAUCAAACCAACUAAAGCCAAAACUAUUUUAUCUACAUGGGUGGGGGGGGAGCAGUCUCAAAUAUGGUGCACUGUGAUACAUAGGAUGUCUGGCAAUGAAUUAAAAUGAUACACAAAUGUACAUGUUCAAGGUGGGGUUAAAAUUUGAGAAUAUGGCAAGGUGAAGUUGCUAACAUUAUAUUUUAAUAGCUAUUAUGUUGGCCAGUCUGUGAAUACAUAAUGCAUGAUUUGUAAGAUUAAACUGAAACAAAAUCAAAUGUAAUUGAUUUCCAAAUUUAUGUUUUUAAAAAUGUGUUUCAUUUCUUAAACACUUUUCAUCAAGUAUAUAAACAGUAUUCUUAAAUUUGAGCGGCUCAUAAUCAUAAUCAUCGUUAUUAUUAUUGUUCUUGUUGCUAACAUUUUUUAUCCUGUACUGUUAUUUUAGUGCUUGACUGUAAUUGGUCUUUGUCAGCUGUUGUCAAGCACAGACAUAAAAUAAUGAAUGAAUUAUUGCUACCGCUACACUACUACUAACUUCUUUCAAAGGCUUCGGUGGAGUGAGGGGGGAAGGAGAGAACAAUACACAACUUAUAAAGGUCUGAGUACUUAAUGACAACCUGUCACCUGAGAAUGGCAGAAAAUCCAACUUCUUGAUCAUUACAUACACGAAAUACACCUAGGAUACUGUAUAAUGCCCAAUAUAGUUUUGUUUGUAUGAGUCAAAACAUUGGCAUAAAUCAUGGAGACAAAUGUUUUUAUUAGUACAGUGUAAGUAGUAAAGUAAUAGCGUGUUAAUGUUUGAAAAGCAGAACAGGAGUGGAAGUGAUAAAACAUAAAAUAAUAACCAGUAAUGCAAAUAGUGUUAAGCAUUAAGGGCAGUCCCCACUUAAUGGUACCUGCACCUUGUCGUGGUGGUGGGGCUUGAG
Zootermopsis nevadensis is the source of this 2485-nucleotide long non-coding RNA. RefSeq lists it as uncharacterized. The record is from RefSeq and is a predicted model, not a curated record. NCBI's taxonomy places the organism in Eukaryota, Metazoa, Arthropoda, Insecta, Blattodea, Termopsidae.